CUUCAUCAUCAUUAUCA
This 17-nucleotide small RNA is filed under the name Arabidopsis thaliana (thale cress). RNAcentral's name for it is "ATSL185340". Lineage: Eukaryota; Viridiplantae; Streptophyta; Magnoliopsida; Brassicales; Brassicaceae. The record is from RNAcentral.